GGCGGGGGCGGGGCCGAGCUGCCCUGGCGCGUCUCGCGGGAAGAAGGCCCCGAAUGGACGCGCCUGACCACAGACCCUGGGGGCCGGGACCCCCCCCGGCGCGGCCUGUUCCUGGGGCCCCGCAUCGGCCCCCGCGCGCCAGGUGCCCCUUGAGCCGCCCCCCCGGGACCUGUCAGCCCAGCGCCCGCUUUGCACCGCGCAGCUCUGGCCUUGGUAGCCGGGUUGCGGCUGCCCCCGGCGAGCCGCGAACCGGCCCCGUGCUCUGCCCGGCGGCUGGCCACCGGGGCACUGAGCCUGGGUUUAACUAGCUCAUGCCCACAAGUCAAGCGGAUGAGAAGCGGCGCACCCCUUAGGGGAGCUGAGCGCGCUCACCACCUCCCGGGAAAGGCCGCUCAGGUGCGGGUGCCGGUGCAGGAUUAAUUGCCGUGAACACCAGCUGCAGUGAGGCUGAGGAAAGAGCCACCUGGCCCCAAAACGGUGCUAGUUAACUUAGCAAUGUUGCAAUGAGAGGCCGAAACGUGGUGCUUUCGGGGAGCCUUACCACAGUGCCUUGCUGCAUCCCUGUGUCGACAUGGUCUGCUUGUCCUUUCCAGAAAGGAGGCAGAUUUUGGCAAGGAAAUAUGAGAAAGAAGCAAAAACACAUUUUAAACAUCAUUUAAUGUUUUUAACGAUAAACAGUCAUCUAGUAUAAACACGUUACAUAUGAUAACUUAGCAAGAACUUAUUGCUAACUGGAUGGUAAAUGGACUCAAGAACGAAGUGGGUGAUGCAGGAAUGCACUCUUUGGAAGGAACAGAAGAGGAGGCAUUUCAAAGAUCCUGCAGGUGACUGAGAAAUAAACAGUUUAAUCGAAAAGGAACACUGACCUCACACAGCACCAAAGUUCUACAUCCAGGUUGUUCUACUGAUAUACAAACAAAAUCACAUUUCCCAGUGCAUCUGGCAGUUGUUACCAUGGAAAUGGUCAAUUUCUGAAAGGAGAAGUUUUGAGAUGACUGAUCACCACUGAGCUAGGGAACUGCUGCUGAGACAAAACUGAGAGUUAGAGAUUUGCUAAUCCGAAAAUACCUGCGUCCCUGGUAACUCAAGAGUAGAUACAAAGGAAUUCUCUAUUUGAUAAGGUUUUGUUUUCCUGCUUGGUCCCUCAGAACCAUUCAGUUGGAUAUAUUCUGUUCUGGAUAUAUUAUUGUACCAUGUUCAUUGCCAUAGUAUCAGAGCAGAACAUGGACUGAAUUCAUCCCUGGUAUAAAUCCUGUGAUUCCAGUGGAGUUACGCUAGCUAUGAAUUUAGAGUCACGUCUUAGAAAGGUACCAUCAAAUACUUUUCGAAAACUGAUUUCUAAUUUUCUUUCCCUUAUUUUCUUUCUCUUAUUUCACUUGUUGGAACCUUUGCCACUUUGUCCUUAUGUGUUGUGCAAACAUUCCUUCUUUCUCUCAAGCACCCGCUCCUGUGCCAUGGUUCUUUAAAUUUUGCCUUUAACUUUGUUUCUUUCCUGUCACCAUAACACACCCUUAUAUUGACAUCAGCAAAUCAGACAAUAGGCUUUGUUAGUUACCUUGUGUUCUCUUGGGUGGUUGGCUGUGCUACAGAAAAACAAAAUACAUAGCAAAGUCAUACACAAACCGAAACUCCUCAGCGGGUAUAAACUGGUGAAUCUCCAUUGACUUCAGUAGCAACACCAGUUUACACCAGCUGAGGAUCUGGGUAUCCAUUUGUCCUUCAAUUUCACAAAGUGUUAGAGUGAUGAAAGAAAGAAAUUUAAAUUCCAGCUGACAAUCAUCACCAGCUUAUAAUACUUUUAAAACAGUCCCCAAACAGACCUAAAUUACUUAAUAGUGGAUCAAUCCUUGCAAUUCUUACUAAAUCAAAAUUCCCAUUGACUUCCUCAUGGAAAUCUUGAUUAUGUAAGUAGUGGGGUAAGGAGAACUACAGAAUUGGGUCCAACAUCUUUUUUUAAUUUAGUUAAUUAAUAUGAUUGUGAUUUACAGACAGUAUAGUACAAAAGCCUGAGUCUGCUUAAUUGGUAUUACACAGUUUUCGUAAUGAACGUGACACCAUCAACAAGCUCAGAUGUUUGAAUAGUGAAGGGUGAGGCCCAGUCCUCUGACACAUCCCCCAAGAACACACACUGGCACCAACAGAAUGUCAAGACAACAGAAAUGACAGCAUCAAAAUAAACAAACUGUGUUAAGGGGAUGCUGUGAGCUACUGAUUUAAAACUUACCUGUUCAGUUUACUGGGCCUUUAGUGUAUUGGAGAAUACAGCUGAAAGUCAUGACUCAGGAAAGCUCACGGGUCUCUUAUUGUGCUAUUAAAAAGGUGUUUUGCAUUGCUAGUGUGAUUCUUAGGUUCCUAUGCCCAAUUUGUUUCUCCUUCUCACAUAAAUAAUUCCCCUAUCAUCAGAACCCCGGCCAAUAAGACUACCUGAGUGAAAAAGGGCUGCCAACUCUAGCCCUGUCUUCCUAGAAGUACUUUCAUCAGAUGCAGAAUUGCUGACAGUGAUGUGCUUUAGCAGCACAGCCAGUGCCAGCUAAAUUAUGCAAUCAGAGUAUCACCAGAAGUAGCACUUUUUGCAAGGUGUGAGCAUUUGGGAAUGAUGCCACAACACAACACUUUGGGAUUUCAGAGUUUUGCUCUGUAGUCCUUGGGUGUUUGGAUAUCCAACUGAAGGGGCUCUGGAAUACUCCUUCGGUGUUUUGUUUACCACCCGCCUCUGGUUACAUUUAUAUCUUGUACAUUUUUUUUCACAUUUGGCAUUCUGCUCAUUUAAACCCACAAAAGUAUUACAAGGAGUGCUCAAGAAAAUGGACUUUAAUAGAAUUAAAUUAUUAUGGCAAAAGAGUUCCAAUAAUUAUUUGUAUUAUGGUAGUGCCUAAGGGUCCCAACAGCGAUUAGCGUUUUGUUGCGCCAGACAUGGUACAAGCCUACUCAGUGGCAGUCCCUACCCUAAUUUCAAGAUCUCGUAUUAGGCCUGUCUGCCCGAAUGAUUGUUUAUUUAUACAGUUCCAGCAUUGCCCGCUGAAUACAACUAGAAAUAUCAAAGUGUCCAGUUAUAUAUCAAAAAGAUGAGCUCUUCUGAUCAAAUUUGCAACCCUUGAAAUCUGGGAAAAACCAACCGAAAAGAUCACAGUCACUUCGGGUGUCUCCCCGGGCACCUUAAUAAACUGCUCUGGAGUGUUGUGCAGAAGUUGAGUGAUGUCAGCCAUUUGGUUAUGAAAAUGAAAGCAGUGGUUCAACUCCAUCCCUGGCCUAACUCGAGUGACUUCAGUAGAGUCAUACGAGGACAGAAAGACUUGGUCAUGAUGUCACUGCAUUUUUGUGUCAGUAGCAGCUUCAGGAGAGGCUCAUGAGGAAUUGAUUAGUUAUUCAGUAUCUGCAGCUGUGUCACUUCACAACGAGGUAAAAUCCAGGUCUGUGGGUAACAAAAAGAAACAGAAUUUUGUUGAAGAAAGUUUGUACUGUGUCUUAUGUCAUGUACCUGCACAGCCAUUAUUCCCCUAUCUGGCAGCAUAACUACCUGGGACAUUGCCAAAGGCAUUUACAUACCGUGUUUACCAAAAGAACAACAGGAAAGUCUGUGAAAAUCAUGCAUAAGUGCUCAUAUUUGAGGCAUUUGAAAGAAAUUCUAAUCAAAAUGGUAUUCAGGCUAUUCAUGACUCCGGAAGAAUUGUUGGAUAGCUGCACAGUGUUGUAAAGAGCGCUGCAGUAGGAAUUCUUACCUGCACCCAUGCUGGAGCUGCCCAGACAUCAAACACUGGUGGUCAAUAAUUCAUCACAAUAAAAAAGAAACCAUCCAUGUAGCUUUGCUAUUGGAGCUUGACUGUUUUCUCCCCAGCCAACACUCUAAAAUACUCAAUAUGAAACUUUAUUCUAUUCUGUGGACUAGACUGUGGUGCAUCAUGGGAGAUGCAGUCCAACCAGGGAGCAUGGCCGAUAAAAGAGAAUGGGAGCAUGAGUCACACAAACCGCAACUCCCACGAAAGGACUGUGUUAGUAUUUCCAAACUAAAAAAUAUUUCAGUUUUUGACCCAAAUAUUUUGGUAUUUGAAUUUCCACUGAAAAACCAAUUUUUUUCCUGGAAAAAAAAACAUUUUCCCAAGACUAUAACAGGGUACAAAAAAGGGUGGGAGUGAUUCCUUGCCUGGCAUGCACCUCCUGUUAUUCUGCAAGGACAGGUCGCAGUCUGUCCCUAUGAAUAGACUAUCUAGAGUCAGGAGCAUACACCUGGGUCAAAAUUCUCCCCCAAAAUACAGGUGCCCAUUUCCUGUUGACUUCAGAGGGAGAGAAUGUAAGGGGAGAAUUUGGCCCAUUUUGAGAGUCUAUACACAGGCUUAAAUUGUUUGUCUGGCCCAUCCAUGGAGGAGAGCAUAAGGAGCCUCUCUCCCCUUGUGUCCCCCACAAGGGCCAGAGACAAUCGCAGUUCCUGUGUUGCUGCCUCUCCAUGCCCUUUCAACCCUCUGUACACUUGCCUUCGGGGAUGGGGGUGGGGAAGAUAUUGCAGUGACCCAAGGAUUGUGCAGAGUGUGCUCCCCUCUUGCACGAAGGAGCUGGCAUUUUGCUUCCUUGAGGCACAAUCUCUGUCUGUAACAGGAUGCUGGUCAUUCCUGGCCCAGCACAUCUGCUAGAGGACCUCCAGCCCGUUAAAAGAUGGGAAUUCAGGCAAUCGUAGUUCCCCAGGCGGGAACAUCCAGAUAAAGCCCCUGACCAGAGGGAGCAUGUGACUGGGAAGGACCAUGUGAUUGAGGUCAGGUGACUGGAGGCCGUUUGGUCCCAGGCUUAUAAGUAACAUCCCUCUACAUCUAAGUAACAUUCCUUCCAGAAAAGUUGUUUGCCCAUAUAUUUAUAGAAAGUGCCCUCAAAUAGGGCAUGAGAACAAAGAUGAGUCAUUUUGAUUUGAGAAAAUAUUCACUGUAUUUAUCACUAUGAUGAAUAUGCAUAUAUUAUAUAUAGAAUAUGUUUUUUCUCUCUACCUAGAUUAUUUAUCCUAUAGGAAAACUGAAAUAUCAUUGUCUGUUUUCAUGCCCCACUUGAGUCAACUGUUUCCAAAUAUUCUAGCGAACCAAUUUACUGUAAGGAACUUUUAUGGAAACAAUGAGUUUUAAGCAAAUAAUGGACAACAUUCAUGGAAAGCAAAUUUUGAGUUUGUCAACAUGAGAAAUGACACCUUAAUUCUGAUUGCAGAAGUUCUGCUCGUUAACUCAGGGAACAUAAUAAAUUCCCUGUGACUUGAGUAGAUAUUCAAACAGCUCAGAUUUUGAAUGUUAAAUAUUUUCAGCAAACCUCUUUUAGAAAAAAGCUACAGAUAAAGAAUUAUUCAUAGAAAUGUUUUGGCAAUUUAUUUUGAGCAAUGGAGAUAUUAAAAAAAAAUCAUGAUCUAUUUGGGGACAUUUCAUGAGGAGAAAAAAGAGGGGAAAUCGUCAGAAAAAUUAUUCAGUAUAAAUAACUCACCCAGCCCUAAAUGGGACUCCCAGAACUUGAACAUUUCUUAAUCUAAUCCGAUUUUCGGGUGACAGUCUGAUGCCAAACUACUUUUAAUAAAUCUUAGAGAGUGCAGAGACUGUUCAGCCAUUUGUCAUAUCACCACUUUAACUUAAGUAUCUUGUGUUAUCUUCUCCAUCACCUUCUUCAAGUGUUUCUCCAGUUUGAUGUGGUUUUCAGAUGUAUGUUCCGUUUUAGUUUCUGAAGGCAUAAAAUACAGGCGGGAGAGAGAGAGAUCUGAAAAAGGAAGGCCCUGAUCCUAUAGUCAAUAGGACAACUCAUAGUUAAACAUGUAUGUUAGAGUUUGCAAGGAGUAAGAUAGAACCAUUCAACUAACAUGCAGCCAACCAUUGAAAUAUAGUUUGUAUUUUCUUUAAAAUUGUGUGCUAGGUCAUAUUUGCACAGUUUUGUAACAUUUCAUUCCUGGUCUCCUUGCCCCUAAUCAUUAUUAUUUUUUAAUGUAGUUUUGUCUUUGGUUUGAACCUCUCUCUUUCAAAGCGAUGUCAGUCUCCUUUAAAUCAUUCAGAAAGUCAAUUUCUCAUCAAACAUUAAAAAAACAAGUUUAAAACGAACUCUGAGAGCCAUGGCUUAAUUCAUUCAUAUUGAGACUGGUUCAAGGCUCAUUGAAGUCACUGGCGGUCUCUCCACCGAAUGUAAUAGACUUUGGAUCAGGCCUGUUGUUCAAUCAUAUUGUACAUACCAGUUUGGCAAUGAAAUCAGGGCCGGCUCUAGGUUUUUUGCUGCCCCAAGCAAAAAAUUUGCCGCCCCAAGCCCCGAGAGUGCAACUGCCCAAGCAUGCGGCAGUCACUGAAGUUAGCAGGACUUGCUCAGUCCAUCGUGACUGCAGAGUUUUUAUUUAAAGUGUCAACAUUAACAAGAUUUUAAACUGUAGGCCAAUGCAGAGCAUCAUCUGACCCUGGUGGAGAAAUGUUUGCCUCAGCAGGUGUGAAAUAAUACAGAGUGUGCAGCAAAUCGUUGAUGGAUCUGUAAUGCAACACCAGUCCCAAAGGUGCUGAGGCUGCUGCAAUCAACAGGGAAGGACACCAAAAGUGAUUAAGUGUAGUUUAGGGCAUCAGAGCUUGGGAGACCUCCAGGGAGACUCUCCUGAAACCAGAGGGACAUAAUUCUAAACAACCGCUUAACUCUUUCAUUCUGAUUUACUAGCUCUAAGUGACAAACCCAUAAUCAUCGAAAGCGCACCACUUUCGCAUGGUUUCCAAUAACCGUACUGCCAAGAGCUAAACUGAACGUUCAGUGGGCCUGACUCAUCCCUGGGUUACUCUGUACGUUGCUGUUAACUCCAUUGAUUGAUAGGUGAUCUCCAUCGGUUCCCAGUAUAACUCCACAGCAUGUUCUAUCAGGCCACCGGCUCACACAGUUGGAAAAUGCCGCCCCUGCCACCCAAUAGAUAGCUAACCUCAAACCAGCGUCCCAUAGCGAUGAAGAAGAUUUCAGUGGAGUGGCACCAUCAUAGAACUGGAGUGACCCAGGUAUGAAUCACAGCCAUAGACUUUAGAAUAAGGAUUCCAGGCUUAUUUAUCUGUCGUUGUUCUCUUUUUCUUAAAUUGAGACCAUCAAGGUCCUGAACCAAACCUCAGUGGAGUCAAAGAGAGUCCUUCCUGAGAAGGAGGUUGGUCUUGUUUUUAAGGUAUUUGACAAUUCAGUUUCCAGCUCCGCCACAGCCUUCCCGUGUGACCUUGGGCAAGUCUCUUAAUGGGGAUAAUAAUGCUUUCUUUGUGUACCUUGUCUCUUUAGAGUGCAAGCUUUUGGAGCAGGGAUUGUCUCUUACUAUGUGUCUGUACAGUACCUAACUCAGUGGGACCCUGAUCUCUGCUAGAGCUCCAUGUUGUUUCAUAUGGGCUGCUAUACAGCCACGCAGAUAGUAAUAGUUUGGAUCUGUUCAGAUUCAAAUAGUGCCCUUGAGGUGAAAGCCCCAUGUCCCAUUAGCAAUCUUCUGAACCAUUCAGUCCCCUCAACAAUUUGUAAAAUAAAAAAAUUACAAUUUGUUAUUAAAUAUGAUGAUCUUCUUGGAUGAAUGCAGCCGCAAAACUUGUGGUAGUGCUCAUAAAAAAGUUGCAAGCAGAGAAUACUUUCCACUUACUAAGACCAAACAUACUGAGUUAAUGUUCCAA
Chelonia mydas (Green sea turtle) is the source of this 7610-nucleotide long non-coding RNA. RefSeq lists it as uncharacterized. The transcript is spliced from 3 exons. The record is from RefSeq and is a predicted model, not a curated record. Lineage: Eukaryota; Metazoa; Chordata; Testudines; Cheloniidae.